AUGCAGAGUUACAAUCAAGAUGGCAACAUAGGCAGACAAGGCUCACCUCUUAGCACAACCACAUCAAAAUUACAACUACAACACAGAACAACGCUCACUCAGGAAUGUCAGAGUUGAAUGGAAGUCUGACAACUACAGAAUUGAAGAAACCAUUUCCAUCCAGACUGGUAGUAGGGGUGCAGAAUCAGAAUGGGCUGGCCCCCUACCCACAUGGGUAAAAAUUUGGGAGGGAUA
Phyllostomus discolor (pale spear-nosed bat) is the source of this 234-nucleotide long non-coding RNA. RefSeq lists it as uncharacterized. Lineage: Eukaryota; Metazoa; Chordata; Mammalia; Chiroptera; Phyllostomidae. The record is from RefSeq and is a predicted model, not a curated record. The transcript is spliced from 3 exons.